CCGCCCCGAAUUGUAGUCUAGAAAGGCGCCAUCGGCCGCGCCCGCCGCUCAAAUCCCAUGGAACUGGGUAUCGGAGAAGGUGAGAAUCCUGUACCGUGGCGGACCGCGGCCGCACGAUGCGCCCUUGCAGAGUCGGGUUGCUUGGGAUUGCAGCUUGAAGUGGGUGGUAAAUUCCAUCUAAAGCUAAAUACUGGUUCAUGACCGAUAGCGAACAAGUACCGUGAGGGAAAGAUGCAAAGAACUUUGAAAAGAGAGUUAAAGAGUGCUUGAAAUCGGUGUGAGGAAACCCGUUUGCGCCCGGUUUCGCGUCGUCAACUCAGCAGUCUCGAAACUGUGCACUUUGGCGAUGCGGGUCCUACGCGACUUUGUGUGCUUCAUAAUAACCGGGGGGGCUUCGGUGAGCCCGGAAAUGUUGUGCGCGAGGUCCCGUCGGACGGAACGGGCGCAACCGACCCGUCUAGAAACACGGACCAAGGAGUCUGACACGGAUGCGAGUACCCGGGUGGCAAGCCCGCGUGCGCAAUGAAAGUGAAGGGCGUGCCCCGCCAACCGACCUUGAUCUUCUGUGAAGGGUUUGAGUCGAGCAUCACUGUCGGGACCCGAAAGAUGGUGAACUAUGCCUGAGGAGGUUGAAGUCUGCCGAAAGGCAGAUGGAGGGCCGUAGCGAUACUGACGUGCAAAUCGUUCGUCGAACUUGGGUAUAGGGGCGAAAGACUAAUCGAACCAUCUAGUAGCUGGUUCCCUCCGAAGUUUCCCUCAGGAUAGCUUGGAUGCAAGGGUUUUGU
Molecule: ribosomal RNA, 785 nt
Filed under: Haptophyta environmental samples
Lineage: Eukaryota; Haptophyta
Description: eukaryotic LSU rRNA
Rfam family: Eukaryotic large subunit ribosomal RNA
Source: RNAcentral